RNAcentral lists this ribosomal RNA (427 nucleotides) under uncultured beta proteobacterium. Its description in RNAcentral is "bacterial SSU rRNA". It matches the Rfam family "Bacterial small subunit ribosomal RNA", at positions 355 to 774 of the family's 1533-position model. Lineage: Bacteria; Pseudomonadati; Pseudomonadota; Betaproteobacteria. The record is from RNAcentral.
UGGGGAAUUUUGGACAAUGGGCGAAAGCCUGAUCCAGCCAUGCCGCGUGAGUGAAGAAGGCCUUCGGGUUGUAAAGCUCUUUUAGUCGGAAAGAAAGAGUUGCAAUGAAUAAUUGUGAUUUAUGACGGUACCGACAGAAAAAGCACCGGCUAACUACGUGCCAGCAGCCGCGGUAAUACGUAGGGUGCGAGCGUUAAUCGGAAUUACUGGGCGUAAAGGGUGCGCAGGCGGUCUUGCAAGUCCGAUGUGAAAGCCCCGGGCUUAACCUGGGAAUUGCGUUUGAAACUACAAGGCUAGAGUGCAGCAGAGGGGAGUGGAAUUCCAUGUGUAGCAGUGAAAUGCGUAGAGAUGUGGAAGAACACCGAUGGCGAAGGCAGCUCCCUGGGUUGACACUGACGCUCAUGCACGAAAGCGUGGGGAGCAAACA